GACGAACGCUGGCGGCGUGCUUAACACAUGCCAGUCGAACGGAAAGGCCCUGCUUUUGUGGGGUGCUCGAGUGGCGAACGGGUGAGUAACACGUGAGUAACCUGCCCUUGACUUUGGGAUAACUUCAGGAAACUGGGGCUAAUACCGGAUAGGAGCUCCUGCUGCAUGGUGGGGGUUGGAAAGUUUCGGCGGUUGGGGAUGGACUCGCGGCUUAUCAGCUUGUUGGUGGGGUAGUGGCUUACCAUGGCUUCGACGGGUAGCCGGCCUGAGAGGGUGACCGGCCACAUUGGCACUAACGUACGCGCCAGGCUCCUACGGGGGGCAGCGGGGGGGAAUAUUGCACAAUGGGCGGGAGCCUGAUGCGGAAACGCCGCGUGCGGAAUGCAGGCCUUCGGGUUGUAAACCGCUUUCGCCUGUGACGAAGCGUGAGUGACGGUAAUGGGUAAAGAAGCACCGGCUAACUACGUG
RNAcentral lists this ribosomal RNA (468 nucleotides) under uncultured bacterium. Its description in RNAcentral is "partial 16S ribosomal RNA". It matches the Rfam family "Bacterial small subunit ribosomal RNA", at positions 28 to 507 of the family's 1533-position model. The record is from RNAcentral.